GACCCAGUGGUGAAUGGAUCACACCUGUUUUCCUUGUGCCUAGCGAACACGAAUUUCGGCAGGAGCCCUCGGUUCAAUUCCGGGCUGGGUCA
Non-coding RNA from Mycena epipterygia, 92 nucleotides. The record is from the annotation of a GenBank genome assembly. Lineage: Eukaryota; Fungi; Basidiomycota; Agaricomycetes; Agaricales; Mycenaceae.